ACCCAAUGCUAUAUUAUCCAGGGUACGUCAGAGUGGCUUGCUCAUUAAGCACUUCACAACGCCCGCUGCGUUAAUAGUUCAAGCUCGGAAUAAAUCGAAUAACACUUAAAGGUUUUGUGACAAAGCUUUCGGAAUGUUCAAAUAUUCAGGAAAACUCACCUAUAUUGCGCUGUUCUCACUUUUUCUGACGGUGGUUGACUGUCGUCCGAAGAGAAAUGGCUUUCCUGUUGACAUCGCGGACCAAGGGCCCAAUUGCCCAUGUGAAGAUCUAGCGGGCGAGGUGUUGAGGUGUGAUGUAAACUGUACAGGCCAAUACUACAAGCUGAGCGAUCGUCAUAAAGAAUGUCUCGAGGAGUGCUCCAUGAUUUUCCUUCAAUGUUCAGCCCAAUGUCGACGAUAAUAGAACACCAUGUAUUUUUUUUCAGUUGUUAAAUGUUGUUACAAUAAACACGAUACAUAAAUUUGAAGCAAAGAUCUGCAUCCUUAUUAAACGCUUAAAGCUUAUGAAAGGUUAAUACUUGAGGUGAUUAGUAUGAAGUAUGACCAAUUAGUUACUAAAACGGUGACUGAAGUGCGCGAUCUUACUUGCAUCCGGUAAGGACUGCCAUCAACCUUUGAAACCCAUAUUGUACAUGAUCUCGAAGUCCUACAUCAAUAUUUAUAGCUCAGUUCGUGUACUGAAUCUGUAACGAUUUACCAUUCAAUACACAGAGGAUAUUUGUUGAUUUCAGUGAAAAAUCGUAUUUUAUUUCACGAGUGUCAUAGAAUAAUAUAUUUUUACGAGUGGCAAUUUUUUUUUCAGUUUCAAUUUUAUUUUUGGCAACAUUUCCUUGUUCAAAAGCUUAGUUUAGACCAAGGGGAAUUAACUAUAAUAUAUUUUAAAAGUAGUUCUUAAAAUUGUUUUUUUUUUCAUU
This is a long non-coding RNA of Mya arenaria, 914 nucleotides long. RefSeq lists it as uncharacterized. The transcript has 3 exons. The record is from RefSeq and is a predicted model, not a curated record. NCBI's taxonomy places the organism in Eukaryota, Metazoa, Mollusca, Bivalvia, Myida, Myidae.